GCUCCACUGCUUCAGUUAUCCCAUAUAUCUAUGCACAAAUACAUGUAUCAUAAGUUUCGAUAGAGCAACUUGAUACUAGAGGAAUGUAUUUUGAAUUCACCAUGUGAAAUUUAUAUUGAAUACAUCAAAUUAAUUCAAGAUACACUAGAUGAAAUUGAUUUUGGUUACAACAAAUUGAUACCAAAUCCAUGUACUUUGGAUAUAAUAUAUGAAAUUGUUACUUGAU
This 226-nucleotide long non-coding RNA is filed under the name Capsicum annuum. RNAcentral describes it as "long non-coding RNA (CANN_LNC019450)". The record is from RNAcentral. Lineage: Eukaryota; Viridiplantae; Streptophyta; Magnoliopsida; Solanales; Solanaceae.